CGGGAAUCUUCGGCAAUGGACGAAAGUCUGACCGAGCAACGCCGCGUGAGUGAAGAAGGUUUUCGGAUCGUAAAACUCUGUUGUUAGAGAAGAACAAGGAUGAGAGUAACUGUUCAUCCCUUGACGGUAUCUAACCAGAAAGCCACGGCUAACUACGUGCCAGCAGCCGCGGUAAUACGUAGGUGGCAAGCGUUGUCCGGAUUUAUUGGGCGUAAAGCGAGCGCAGGCGGUUUCUUAAGUCUGAUGUGAAAGCCCGCGGCUCAACCGGGGAGGGUCAUUGGAAACUGGGAGACUUGAGUGCAGAAGAGGAGAGUGGAAUUCCAUGUGUAGCGGUGAAAUGCGUAGAUAUAUGGAGGAACACCAGUGGCGAAGGCGGCUCUCUGGUCUGUAACUGACGCUGAGGCUCGAAAGCGUGGGGAGCAAAC
RNAcentral lists this ribosomal RNA (425 nucleotides) under uncultured bacterium. RNAcentral describes it as "bacterial SSU rRNA". It matches the Rfam family "Bacterial small subunit ribosomal RNA", at positions 356 to 773 of the family's 1533-position model. The record is from RNAcentral.